GGCGGCCUUAGCGCGGUGGUUCCCACCUUGACCCCAUUGCCGAACUCAGAAGUGAAACGCCGUAGCGCCGAUGGUAGUGUGGGGUCUCCCCAUGCGAGAGUAGGGAACUGCCAGGC
This 116-nucleotide ribosomal RNA is filed under the name Escherichia coli ATCC 25922. Lineage: Bacteria; Pseudomonadati; Pseudomonadota; Gammaproteobacteria; Enterobacterales; Enterobacteriaceae. The record is from RNAcentral.